AUACGUAGGGUGCUAGCGUUAUCCGGAUUUACUGGGCGUAAAGAGUGCGUAGGUGGCUUUGCAAGCGUAGGGUAUAAGGCGACAGCCCAACUGUCGUUGGCCCCGCGAACUGUAAGGCUUGAGUACAGGAGGGGAAGGCGGAAUUCCUAGUGUAGCGGUGAAAUGCGUAGAUAUUAGGAGGAACACCAGUGGCGAAGGCGGCCUUCUGGACUGUAACUGACACUGAGGCACGAAAGCGUGGGUAGCAAACAGGAUUAGAUACCCUGGUAGUCCACGCCGUAAACGAUGAGCACUAGGUGUCGGGCUCGCAAGAGUUCGGUGCCGGAGCAAACGCAUUAAGUGCUCCGCCUGGGGAGUACGCACGCAAGUGUGAAACUCAAAUGAAUUGACGGGG
Molecule: ribosomal RNA, 394 nt
Filed under: uncultured bacterium
Lineage: Bacteria
Description: partial 16S ribosomal RNA
Rfam family: Bacterial small subunit ribosomal RNA
Source: RNAcentral